UACGCUGGCGGCGUGCCUAAUACAUGCAAGUCGAGCGGACAGAUGGGAGCUUGCUCCCUGAUGUUAGCGGCGGACGGGUGAGUAACACGUGGGUAACCUGCCUGUAAGACUGGGAUAACUCCGGGAAACCGGGGCUAAUACCGGAUGGUUGUUUGAACCGCAUGGUUCAGACAUAAAAGGUGGCUUCGGCUACCACUUACAGAUGGACCCGCGGCGCAUUAGCUAGUUGGUGAGGUAACGGCUCACCAAGGCAACGAUGCGUAGCCGACCUGAGAGGGUGAUCGGCCACACUGGGACUGAGACACGGCCCAGACUCCUACGGGAGGCAGCAGUAGGGAAUCUUCCGCAAUGGACGAAAGUCUGACGGAGCAACGCCGCGUGAGUGAUGAAGGUUUUCGGAUCGUAAAGCUCUGUUGUUAGGGAAGAACAAGUGCCGUUCAAAUAGGGCGGCACCUUGACGGUACCUAACCAGAAAGCCACGGCUAACUACGUGCCAGCAGCCGCGGUAAUACGUAGGUGGCAAGCGUUGUCCGGAAUUAUUGGGCGUAAGGGCUCGCAGG
This 560-nucleotide ribosomal RNA is filed under the name Bacillus sp. Ni15. RNAcentral's name for it is "bacterial SSU rRNA". It matches the Rfam family "Bacterial small subunit ribosomal RNA", at positions 32 to 575 of the family's 1533-position model. Lineage: Bacteria; Bacillati; Bacillota; Bacilli; Caryophanales; Bacillaceae. The record is from RNAcentral.